CCUACGGGUGGCAGCAGUGAGGAAUAUUGGUCAAUGGACGAGAGUCUGAACCAGCCAAGUAGUGUGAAGGAUGACUGCCCUAUGGGUUGUAAACUUCUUUUAUAUGGGAAUAAAACGUUCCACGUGUGGGAUUUUGUAUGUACCAUAUGAAUAAGGAUCGGCUAACUCCGUGCCAGCAGCCGCGGUAAUACGGAGGAUCCGAGCGUUAUCCGGAUUUAUUGGGGUUAAAGGGAGCGUAGGUGGAUUGUUAAGUCAGUUGUGAAAGUUUGCGGCUCAACCGUAAAAUUGCAGUUGACACUGGCAGUCUUGAGUACAGUAGAGGUGGGCGGAAUUCGUGGUGUAGCGGUGAAAUGCUUAGAUAUCACGAAGAACUCCGAUUGCGAAGGCAGUUCACUGGACUGCAACUGACACUGAGGCUCGAAAGUGUGGGUAUCAAACAGGAUUAGAUACCCGAGUAGUC
RNAcentral lists this ribosomal RNA (460 nucleotides) under uncultured bacterium. RNAcentral's name for it is "partial 16S ribosomal RNA". It matches the Rfam family "Bacterial small subunit ribosomal RNA", at positions 338 to 795 of the family's 1533-position model. The record is from RNAcentral.